This 253-nucleotide ribosomal RNA is filed under the name uncultured bacterium. RNAcentral describes it as "partial 16S ribosomal RNA". It matches the Rfam family "Bacterial small subunit ribosomal RNA", at positions 524 to 776 of the family's 1533-position model. The record is from RNAcentral.
UACGUAGGGCGCGAGCGUUGUCCGGAAUUAUUGGGCGUAAAGAGCUCGUAGGCGGCUUGUUGCGUCUGCUGUGAAAUCCCGGGGCUUAACCCCGGGCGUGCAGUGGAUACGGGCAGGCUGGAGGCAGGCAGGGGAGAAUGGAAUUCCCGGUGUAGCGGUGAAAUGCGCAGAUAUCGGGAGGAACACCGGUGGCGAAGGCGGUUCUCUGGGCCUGUUCUGACGCUGAGGCACGAAAGCGUGGGGAGCAAACAGG